This 2307-nucleotide long non-coding RNA is filed under the name Homo sapiens (human). RNAcentral's name for it is "HSALNT0182234". Lineage: Eukaryota; Metazoa; Chordata; Mammalia; Primates; Hominidae. The record is from RNAcentral.
UACAACUUUACAAGUCAGGCUUCACAUCUCCUGUUUCACCUGCUGCUGGGGCUGCAGAGUGCCUCCCAUUCUUCAAUGUCAUUUAACUCUGUAAUUGUGUUACUUAACUCCGGAAAGCUUUGGGAGGCUACAGUUGGGAUGAGAAAACGCUACCCAGAAUAAGCACUCCUGGAAACCUUCAUUCCAAGGGGGGUUAUAUAUGUCACCAUGAGAAGGUGGAACAGGGCUUGGGCAGAGCCUGGAAGGUCCACAGGAGUUUUCCCCAGAUGAGACUCAGCUGCCUGAACAGGAGGGACCAGUGAGAAGGCCUGGCUGUUCCUGAUUCUGGCAUCUUGUCUCCAUCCUUUGUGCACGAGCCCCAGAGAUCCAGCCUCUGCUUUGGGCCGCAACAUCCCACCUGACCCUUCACUCCCCUUAACAGCUGGCGCUCAGUGGGGAAGGUGGAAAUAAUUCCCAAGAACUGAUAAGUUUCCCAGGCUGCUUUGAGAUGCCCAAUGGGGUUUGAAGGAGCUCCCAGUAGGAAGCUGCUAAGGGAGCACUGAACCUAACUGAACUCCAAACCCUUCCAGAUCCCCCCGGGCAACUCCUUCCAUGGAAAAUAACCAGCACAGGGAUCUGAGGAUGGGCGGGGAAAAUUCUGAAGUCUGUUUCAAAUCUGUGGCUGACUGUCUCUGGGCCUGGAGACUGCUCUCCCAGAGACAGGGAUUUAAGCAGCGCACCUGCACGGGUGACGCUCCGAUGUCAUUCCUUAGUCCUGCCCUGCUCGGGGCUCCCAGCCAUGUACUCACACCUACACUUUAUUAUCUUACAUGCCUGUGCCCCCCUUGCCUUUUACCGCCCGGUCUGUAAGCUUUCAGAGACAGAACCAAACCUGAUCUGUUCCUUUACCCCACACCCCAGCACAGUGACUGGCACAUAGGUGUUAAAUCACUGUCUGCUGAUUGAUUCAUAAAUGGAAAGCCUGGCUUUCUUUUCUUUUCUUUCUUUUUUCUUUCUUUCUUUCUUUCUUUCUUUUUUUUUUUUUUUUUUUUUUUUUGAGACGGAGUUUCGCUCUUGUUACCCAGGCUGGAGUGCAAUGGCAUGAUCUCAGCUCACGGCAACCUCCGCCUCCCGGGUUCAAGCAAUUCUCCUGCCUCAGCCUCCUGAGUAGCUGGGAUUAGAGGCAUGCGCCACCAUGCCCAGCUAAUUUUUGUAUUUUUUAUCAGAGACGAGGUUUCUCCAUGUUGGCCAGUCUGGUCUCGAACUCCUGACCUCAGGUGAUCCGCUCGCCUCGGCCUCCCAAAGUGCUGGGAUUACAGGCGUGAGCCACCACACCUGGCCGGAAAGCCUGGCUUUCUAAGCCUUGGGUUGAUGCAAACCUGCUGAAGGAAGCACUCCCUAGGGGAAUGCAAGCGCCCCUUAUCUGAAAUGCUUGAGACCAGAAGUGUUUCGAAUUUCCGACUUUUUCAGAUUUUGGAAUAUUUUCAUAAACAUAAUGAGGUAUCUUGGGAAUGAGACUCAAGUCUAAACACGAAGUUCAUUUCUGUUUCAUAGACACCUUAGACACGUAGCCUGAAGGUAAUUUCAUACAAUAUUUUAAAUAAUUUUGUUCAUGAAACAAAGUUUUGACUGUUUUUGACUACGACCCUUCAUGAGGAUAGGUGUGGAAUUUUCCACUUGCGGUAUCACAUCGAAGCUCAACAAGUUUCAGACAUUGGAGCAUUUCAGAUUUUGGAUUUUCAGACUAGAGAUUCCUAGUAUUACCUAUGUUACCACUUCACCGUGUUUCAGGCACUGUGUUAGGUGCAUAAGGAUGUCAAGAUGCAUAAGACAUUGUACUUUCCUUCAAAGAGUUGCCAGUCUUACUUCCACUAGGAAUCCAUCCUGGUUGUCCCGAUUCAGAAGUCAUUUCUGCCCCUACCUUCCUAGUCAUUUACGAUGUACUUUGCUAUGUCUAAUACAGCACUUAUCCUGUAUGACCUCAUUAAAAUAACUUCUGCUCGCAUCUGUCUGCCUUUUUAGCUGAAAGGCUCCUAGAGGAAAAGGACCUGACUUCAACUCCUAGCACUCCUGGGCGUUAGCUUCUUGGGGCUCUGUUUUCUUAGUCUGAAAAACGAGGUGGUCAUAAGAAGUCCAGUUUCCAGAUAAGAGGGUUGAGGACAGAAGUGUCAGCCAAAUGUCCCUGUCAAACUGGCCACUCAGAGCCACCUCCUUGUUUACCAUUCUCCUGGGCCAACUUAUUCCUUCCUCCUCAUUCUUCUAGGAGGCUGAUGCAGAGAACAAGACGAUGCCACCCAAGUCAUCCUUUGUUCCAGACACCAGUUCUCA